This 30-nucleotide non-coding RNA is filed under the name Cricetulus griseus (Chinese hamster). Lineage: Eukaryota; Metazoa; Chordata; Mammalia; Rodentia; Cricetidae. The record is from RNAcentral.
UUGGAGGUGAUGAACUGUCUUGGCCUGAAC